Molecule: long non-coding RNA, 1761 nt
Filed under: Mytilus galloprovincialis (Mediterranean mussel)
Lineage: Eukaryota; Metazoa; Mollusca; Bivalvia; Mytilida; Mytilidae
Source: RNAcentral
CCGCCUAAAUUUUUUUCUGCGUAGUAUUGAUGUUUCAAAAGAUGUCGCUUAGAUAUUUGGAAUAUGAUGUCGUAUAGUUUAUACGCUUUAAAAAUUUACAACUGCGUAACAAAAUACUUUACGUUGUAAGAGUUAUCUCCCAAACACGCCUUUUCGUAAGAGUUAUCUCCCCAAACACUGUUUUUCUUGUGGCCACUACUCCUUUGCAACCGUAAAAGAUUAUGACAAAUUAAUUUUACCAAAUUGCUUGUUACUUCUUCAGGAUUAGGAUAUUCAUUUGGAUCGAAGCUAUCCAGAGACUCCAUAUGAGAGUUAUUUCCCCUUAUGCAUUUGAUAUAAGUGAUAUGCGUUUCUAACUGGUAAACCAUCAGUGAUAUAGGCCUAGGGUCUUUGGAUUUAAGUUCCUUGGUCCAAAAAAAUGAAAAUAAGGUCAAGGUCAAAGGUCAAGGUCAUAUUCUAAAUUUUGAUUUUGGCUUAUUUUCUCUUUUUUUCAACAACUGUGAAAGAUAUAGACAAAUUGUUUUUACUAAAUUGUUAGUUGCGACAUGUUGUAACUUAUAAAUUUUGGUUGGAAAGGUGUGUAAACAAUAAAUGAGAGUUUUCACCCAUCUUAUAUUUAAAAUCAUGCCUAAAGUGAUAUAACUCAUUAACCAUACACAUUACAUACCUAGGGUCUUUUUAUUUGAAGUCCUUGGUUGGUGACCAUGAAAUUGAGGUCAAGGUUAAAGGUUAAUAGGACGUUCUAGAUUUUGACCUUUGCCUUAAAUUCAUAUUUAUACAUUUUAAAGUCAUAGGAACUGACAUUUUAGAUUGAUUUUUAAUAUUUUGAUAAUAAAAUAGAUCUUUACUUGUGGAAAGACCUUCAAUUGUUCUUUGAACAAUUGGUUUUUAAUUAGGUCUUUCCACUUUUCCGUGGAAAGACCUAUAGGUUUUGUUCUGAUUAUUAUUAUUAUUAUUAUUAUUAUUAUUAUUUUUUUUUUCUUCCGCCUAAUUUUUUUUCUUGCGUAGUAUUGUUGUUUAAUAAGUUGUCGCUUAGAUAUUUGGAAUAUGAUAUCGUAUAGUUUAUACGCUUUAAAAAUUUACAACCGCGUAACAAAAUACUUUACGUUGUAAGAGUUAUCUCCCCUAACACUGUUUUUCUUGUGGCCACUACUCCUUCGCAACCGUAAAAGAUUACGACAAAUUUAUUUUACCAAAUUGCUCGUUACAUCUUCAGGAUUUGGAUAUUCAUUUAGACCGAAGCUAUCCGGAGACUCCAUAUGAGAGUUAUUUCCCCUUCUGCAUUUGAUAUAAGUGAUAUGCGUUUCUAACUGGUAAACCAUCAGUGAUAUAGGCCUAGGGUCUUUGGAUUUAAGUUCCUUGGUCCAAAAAAAUGAAAAUAAGGUCAAGGUCAAAGGUCAAGGUCAUAUUCUUAAUUUUGAUUUUGGCUUAUUUUCUCUUAUUUUCAACAACCGUGAAAGAUAUUGAGGAAUUAUUUUUACUAAAUUGUAAGUUGCGACAUGUUGUAACUUAUAAAUUUUGGUUGGAAGGGUGCGUAAACAAUAAAUGAGAGUUUUCGCCCAUCUUAUAUUUAAAAUCAUGCCUAAAGUGAUAUAACUCAUUAACCAUACAUAUUACAGACCUAAGGUCUUUUUAUUUGAGGUCCUUGAUUGGUGACCUUGAAAUUGAGGUCAAGGUCAAAGGUUAAUAGGACGUUCUAGAUUUUGACCUUUGCUUUAAAUUCAUAUUUAUACAUUAUAAAGUCAUAGGAACUGACAUUUU